GCCUUGGUAGCUCAAUUGGUAGAGUAUAAGACACUUACAGCCCCUCUGACCGGGUAAGAGUCUUGAGGUUUGCGGAUUCAAUUCCUGCGUGAGGCU
Molecule: non-coding RNA, 96 nt
Organism: Hysterangium stoloniferum
Lineage: Eukaryota; Fungi; Basidiomycota; Agaricomycetes; Hysterangiales; Hysterangiaceae
Source: the annotation of a GenBank genome assembly